GACGAACGCUGGCGGCGUGCUUAACACAUGCAAGUCGAACGGAAAGGCCUCUUUCGGGGGGUACUCGAGUGGCGAACGGGUGAGUAACACGUGAGUAACCUGCCCUUGACUUUGGGAUAACUUCAGGAAACUGGGGCUAAUACCGGAUAGGAGCUCCUGCUGCAUGGUGGGGGUUGGAAAGUUUCGGCGGGUGGGGAUGGAAUCGCGGCUUAUCAGCUUGUUGGUGGGGUAGUGGCUUACCAAGGCUUUUUCGGGGAGCCGGCCUGGGAGGGUGACCGGCCACAUUGGGACUGGGAUAAGGCCCAGACUCCUACGGGAGGCAGCAGGGGGGAAUAUUGCACAAUGGGUGGAAGCCUGAUGCAGCAACGCCGUGUGCGGGAAGACGGGCUUCGGGUUGUAAACCGCUUUCGCUCAUGACGAAGCUUUGUGUGACGGUAGUGGGUAAAGAAGCACCGGCUAACUACGUG
RNAcentral lists this ribosomal RNA (467 nucleotides) under uncultured bacterium. RNAcentral's name for it is "partial 16S ribosomal RNA". It matches the Rfam family "Bacterial small subunit ribosomal RNA", at positions 28 to 507 of the family's 1533-position model. The record is from RNAcentral.